Molecule: long non-coding RNA, 555 nt
Organism: Apis florea (little honeybee)
Lineage: Eukaryota; Metazoa; Arthropoda; Insecta; Hymenoptera; Apidae
Source: RefSeq, a predicted model, not a curated record
AAAUAUUUUUCAUAGUGUAAAAUCAGUUACAAAAUACAAUUUUGUUGCAAUAUUAAAGACGCUUUGGAAUUAUCUAUUUUUUUAAACAAUACUGGAAUAAUUUUCACUUGGCCAUACGUAAUAUAGAUGUCGAUAAUGGGUAUAUGGUUGAAACUGCAUUUUUGAAGAUUGCAAUGCACGCAUUAAUGGGAUGUAAUCUUCUUCGUGCUUUGAAAAUGUAUUAAUAUCUGGUUCUGGCUAUACUAUAGUACCUCCACUUUCUGCAGGACUGACAACGUGAAGAGCAUUUCCAACCUGUCCUAUUCCAGGCUGUAAUUAAAAAAUGCAUAAAAAUUCACUACUAAAAGUGCAUUAAAGAAUUGUGCAAUAAUAGCAAUAUAAAAAUAUAAUCAAUAGUAGAACGAGCAUAUAAAAAACAUAUUCUAUUACUUUGUUCAAUGAAGCAAUGAACAAGUCAAGAAAACAUUAAAUUAUUAUAUACACAUAUGUAUACGUACCAUGCGAUAAAUUCUGGGAAGAUUCAUCCAUGAUUCUCUUGCAUCAGCCAAAGCAUGG